Molecule: ribosomal RNA, 429 nt
Filed under: Chloroflexota bacterium
Lineage: Bacteria; Bacillati; Chloroflexota
Description: Chloroflexi bacterium partial 16S ribosomal RNA
Rfam family: Bacterial small subunit ribosomal RNA
Source: RNAcentral
UGGGGAAUAUUGCACAAUGGGCGCAAGCCUGAUGCAGCCAUGCCGCGUGUAUGAAGAAGGCCUUCUGGUUGUAAAGUACUUUCAGCGGGGAGGAAGGGAGUAAAGUUAAUACCUUUGCUCAUUGACGUUACCCGCAGAAGAAGCACCGGCUAACUCCGUGCCAGCAGCCGCGGUAAUACGGAGGGUGCAAGCGUUAAUCGGAAUUACUGGGCGUAAAGCGCACGCAGGCGGUUUGUUAAGUCAGAUGUGAAAUCCUCGGGCUCAACCUGGGAACUGCAUUCGAAACUGGCAGGCUAGAGUCUUGUAGAGGGGGGUAGAAUUCCAGGUGUAGCGGUGAAAUGCGUAGAGAUCUGGAGGAAUACCGGUGGCGAAGGCGGCCCCCUGGACGAAGACUGACGCUCAGGUGCGAAAGCGUGGGGAGCAAACAGG